AGAGGGGGCUAGCGUUAUUCGGAAUUAUUGGGCGUAAAGGGCGCGUAGGCGGCCAUGCGUGUCUUCCGUGAAAUCCCUCGGCUUAACUGAGGACGUGCGGAAGAAACUGCAAGGCUCGAGUCCGGGAGAGGGGGGUGGAAUUCCCAGUGUAGCGGUGAAAUGCGUAGAUAUUGGGAGGAACACCGGUGGCGAAGGCGGCCCCCUGGACCGGAACUGACGCUGAGGCGCGAAAGCGUGGGUAGCAAACGGGAUUAGAUACCCCGGUAGUCCACGCCGUAAACGAUGGGCACUUGGUGUCGCGGGUAUCGACCCCUGCGGUGCCGAAGCUAACGCAUUAAGUGCCCCGCCUGGGGAGUACGGUCGCAAGGCUG
RNAcentral lists this ribosomal RNA (371 nucleotides) under uncultured bacterium. RNAcentral describes it as "bacterial SSU rRNA". It matches the Rfam family "Bacterial small subunit ribosomal RNA", at positions 527 to 896 of the family's 1533-position model. The record is from RNAcentral.